Molecule: non-coding RNA, 31 nt
Filed under: Mus musculus (house mouse)
Lineage: Eukaryota; Metazoa; Chordata; Mammalia; Rodentia; Muridae
Source: RNAcentral
UGUCAUUGUGCUACUGCAAUAAAUAUUCUGU